GAUGAACGCUGGCGGCGUGCCUAAUACAUGCAAGUCGAGCGAACAGACGAGGAGCUUGCUCCUCUGACGUUAGCGGCGGACGGGUGAGUAACACGUGGAUAACCUACCUAUAAGACUGGGAUAACUUCGGGAAACCGGAGCUAAUACCGGAUAAUAUAUUGAACCGCACGGUUCAAUAGUGGAAGACGGUUUCGCUGUCACUUAUAGAUGGAUCCGCGCCGCAUUAGCUAGUUGGUAAGGUAACGGCUUACCAAGGCGACGAUGCGUAGCCGACCUGAGAGGGUGAUCGGCCACACUGGAACUGAGACACGGUCCAGACUCCUACGGGAGGCAGCAGUAGGGAAUCUUCCGCAAUGGGCGAAAGCCUGACGGAGCAACGCCGCGUGAGUGAUGAAGGUCUUCGGAUCGUAAAACUCUGUUAUUAGGGAAGAACAAAUGUGUAAGUAACUAUGCACGUCUUGACGGUACCUAAUCAGAAAGCCACGGCUAACUACGUG
RNAcentral lists this ribosomal RNA (497 nucleotides) under uncultured bacterium. RNAcentral describes it as "partial 16S ribosomal RNA". It matches the Rfam family "Bacterial small subunit ribosomal RNA", at positions 28 to 507 of the family's 1533-position model. The record is from RNAcentral.